This 774-nucleotide ribosomal RNA is filed under the name uncultured Neocallimastigales. RNAcentral describes it as "partial large subunit ribosomal RNA". It matches the Rfam family "Eukaryotic large subunit ribosomal RNA", at positions 24 to 605 of the family's 3401-position model. The record is from RNAcentral. Lineage: Eukaryota; Fungi; Neocallimastigomycota; Neocallimastigomycetes; Neocallimastigales.
UACGACUACAUAUCAGGCAUAUCAAUAAGCGGAGGAAAAGAAACUAACUAGGAUUCCCUCAGUAACGGCGAGUGAAGCGGGAAGAGCUCAAAUUUGAAAUCUUCAAGGUUUUACCUUGACGAAUUGUAGUUUAAAGAAGUGUUUUCUGUUGGAGUUUUGGUAAAAGUUCUUUGGAAUAGGACAUCAUAGAGGGUGAGAAUCCCGUAUUUGACCAUUAUUUCCAGCUUUGUGAUACACUUUCAAAGAGUCGGAUUGUCUGGGAAUGCAGUCCAAAAUGGGUGGUAAAUUUCAUCUAAAGCUAAAUAUUGGCGAGAGACCGAUCGCGAACAAGUACCGUGAGGGAAAGAUGAAAAGAACUUUGAAAAGAGAGUUAAACAGUACGUGAAAUUGUCAAAAGGGAAGCGUUUGACACCAGUGUUGUUUUCUCGAAAAUCAAUUAAAAAAGACUGGAUUUUGUGUUGUAUUGACUUUAUCAGCUUUCUGCACUCUUUUCUUGUCUUUUUUAAUGCACUUUUCGUUUAACAAGUCAACAUCAAUUUCUUUUGUUGUAAAAGGGUCAUUGGAAGGUGGCUUUCUUUUCGGAGAAAGUGUUUAUAGCCUCUGGCCUCUGCAAUCGGAGAGAUUGAGGUCUGCAGCGUAGAUCCUUCGGGGUUAGAUACAUUUGUGCUAAGUUAUAGCCUUUCAUAGACAACUUGCUGACUAUGAUCAGUCAUGUAGCUUACUCGCUUAUGCUAUUUUACCUACGCUUAGGAUGUUGACACACGCGCGUGCUCG